This 114-nucleotide ribosomal RNA is filed under the name Fasciola hepatica (liver fluke). Lineage: Eukaryota; Metazoa; Platyhelminthes; Trematoda; Plagiorchiida; Fasciolidae. The record is from RNAcentral.
GCAACCAGACCACGUUGGAAACACCUAUUCCAUUUCGAUCACCCAAGUUAAAUAACUUCGGGCCCAGUUGGUAUUUAUAUGAGUGACUAGCCGGGAAUACCGGGUGUUACGACC